AGGAAAGAAUCCUGAAAAAUGAUGAUCCUUACAAUACACAUUCUGUUUUUCAAUAAAAGGUUACCAUCUAGCAAGAGAAAGAAGCAUGCUAACAUUACUCACAAUAAAUGUGAUAUAUAGUCUAAAAGACAGAAAUAAAAGUCCGGAGGAAUACAGAACUGGGGUAAAUGGGUAGUUCUGUCAAAGGCCACUGUGGAAGGUGUAUAGUGAUGUCUUCUUAUCUGGACAUUGUAAUGGGGAAUUUGAAAUUAUUUCCAAACAAUCAAAGGUUCCACCUGCACUUAAGGGAGUGGAGGUUCAUACAAGGGUAUACAUCUGAAGUCUCUUUCUGUCCAUUCCCUGCCUCUGCUGAACAAGCUACCUGUACCUGUUGAAGUCCUUGCAUUAAGCAUACGAACAUUCAGGUUUUUCAGUUCAGAGCAGUAUCUACUCACACAUUUUACCUAUAAAAUGAUUACCAACGAACACAUAUU
RNAcentral lists this long non-coding RNA (473 nucleotides) under Vulpes vulpes (red fox). RNAcentral's name for it is "lncRNA (ENSVVUG00000024048.1)". The record is from RNAcentral. Lineage: Eukaryota; Metazoa; Chordata; Mammalia; Carnivora; Canidae.